AAGUCGUAACAAGGUUUCCGUAGGUGAACCUGCGGAAGGAUCAUUACCUAGAGUUGUAGGCUUUGCCUGCUAUCUCUUACCCAUGUCUUUUGAGUACCUUACGUUUCCUCGGUGGGUUCGCCCACCGAUUGGACAAAUUCAAACCCUUUGCAGUUGAAAUCAGCGUCUGAAAAAACUUAAUAGUUACAACUUUCAACAACGGAUCUCUUGGUUCUG
This 216-nucleotide unclassified non-coding RNA is filed under the name fungal sp. Its description in RNAcentral is "partial internal transcribed spacer region". The stretch from base 1 to 46 matches the Rfam family "Eukaryotic small subunit ribosomal RNA", at positions 1786 to 1831 of the family's 1831-position model. The record is from RNAcentral. Lineage: Eukaryota; Fungi.